GAAAGUUGAAAAGCACUCUGAAUAGAGAGUCAAAGAGUACGUGAAACUGCCUAGGGGACGCAAACCUGUAGAACCCAAUGUUCCGUGCGGUGCGAUAUUCAGCGGUACGUUGGCCCACGCCGGGUCGGCUGCCGUGCACUUAUCAAGACCGCAGCAACGGACAUCGCGAUCCAUUACAAUACUCCUACUGGCAAUGGCCCCUAGCUCGUGGUUGGCGGCUCCUCAGUACGGGACGCUCGGCGGCUUCCCGGACCAGGUGUCUCCGCGCCUUUCACACCAGAGAGGCGCAGGGCCCGACCGAGCUUGGUGUGUCGCUGGAAGCGUGAUGGAUUGAUACGAGCGGGGAUGAGAGCGCACGGCCUACUAGCCCGAAGGCCCAUCAGCACUUGACCCUCCGAUCGGUGAUGACGCAUUAAGCAUUGGGGCACCUACGGGACCCGUCUUGAAACACGG
Molecule: ribosomal RNA, 453 nt
Filed under: Anopheles funestus (African malaria mosquito)
Lineage: Eukaryota; Metazoa; Arthropoda; Insecta; Diptera; Culicidae
Description: eukaryotic large subunit ribosomal RNA
Rfam family: Eukaryotic large subunit ribosomal RNA
Source: RNAcentral